CGACUUAAGACUAGUUAAGACUCUACGACUGCUACAACUUCUAUUGUAGACCCCGCUUAAUAUACAUGUCUGCACGUCUCUAACCUCUAAAGCCCAAGACAGAUUGAUAGUUUAUAUGAAAUCAGUCAAUCAAUAAUGAAUCAAUCAACUUUUAAAAAACGGCAGUUGGAAAUGUUGGAAUCCAAGCAGAAGCAACAAUUAAAAGCGCUUGAUAUAAAAGAGAGUCUCAUCUUUUGAAUCCAACGGAGUUCUAUUGAUUGAUGGAUGGAAAAAUUCAUCAGCUAAUACGAAAAAUAUGGUUUGCACAGUUCAUACAGUAAACUCUAAGUGCAUAUUUCUUAAAUCCUGGGAUUUAAUCGGACUGAAAGAAACUGGUGAUCAACUCAAAGAAAUUGUCAACGAGGGAAUAAAAUUAGCAAAAGAAAAGUUUAAUAUUAUUACGUAUGCUGUUGUUUCGGAUAAUGCAUCAUCAAUGAUGUUGAUGGGGAAGAAAGUAAAUAUUUGGCAUACUACUUGUCAAAGUCAUAGUGGCAAUCUGUUAGCAAAAUCCUUUGUGCCUGAGACAUAUGCGAAGAAUGUAAACAACUUUUGCAUGCAUUCAAGACACCAGCUGCAGAAUAUGAAUUAGAGCAACGAGGAGGCUCCAGAAUAAUUUUAGCAUGUGACACAAGGUGGUGCAGCUAUCGAGAUGCAUUUAGAUGUCUGCUGAAAAAUUUACCUCUGAUGCUAGAAAUAAUUGCUAACAAAAAGAUCCAACUAAGCAGUAAAAACGAGAGCUUGCUCAAGGAUCCCUCAUUUGUGACGCAAAUACAGGAUUUUAUCUUGAUUUUUGACCCGAUAUGUCAAUUGAUAAAUGUCUGUCAGCGAUCUGAUUGUAGUAUAGCCGACGGAUGUGAAAAAUAGCUGAAAUUAGAAAUUCCGACAGUUCAUGACGAAAUGCAACAAAAGCUGCGUAACCGACUGAAAAAAGUCUUAACACCAAUUGUGCUAACUUCGAAUUUUCUACAUCCUCAAUACCGAGCUAAACGAUUUUU
This is a long non-coding RNA of Trachymyrmex cornetzi, 1034 nucleotides long. RefSeq lists it as uncharacterized. The record is from RefSeq and is a predicted model, not a curated record. Lineage: Eukaryota; Metazoa; Arthropoda; Insecta; Hymenoptera; Formicidae. The transcript is spliced from 3 exons.